Molecule: long non-coding RNA, 714 nt
Filed under: Rattus norvegicus (Norway rat)
Lineage: Eukaryota; Metazoa; Chordata; Mammalia; Rodentia; Muridae
Description: long non-coding RNA NONRATT003914
Source: RNAcentral
CAGGCUUGACCCUUCCAGCACCCCAGCUUCAGUGCUCCGCCCCACAUGGCCCGAGAGCUCUGGCCCCGCCUCUUACAGGCCACGCUCCUGCGCCCUUCACUCCGCCCAGUACGGGCCGGGCCCUCGUAGCUCAAGAGCGUGCCCCUGGCUCCGCCCUUCGCGGGGCCAGCGUUCUUGCUCGUCCCAAUAGGCCACGCCCCCAACAGGCUCUCACAGUCCAGGCCCCGCCUCUGCUGCCCCUUAAGAUCUCUAGCCCCGCCCCUCGAGGCCCCCUUGGAGCUGCAAGCUCAGUAUCUGUGCAGCUGCGGCAGUGGGGGCCUACGUGCUCCGCAGGCGGAGGGCCUGUUGCAGGCCGCCUGCCUGGCGCCUCUGCAAGGUCUUCCUCCCUCGGUGCAGCUCCGAUCCGCUGCGGGAGAAGGAAACGACCCUGAGAGAAACCCGACUGAAGGUGGGAGGUUGACGCCACGGAAACAUCUGCCUCCCCAGUCCCAACGGUCUUCCCCCACCCAGUGAAUCUGAGCUGAACCGCUGCUUUCGGAUCGAGCUUCUGCGGCCCACUGAGGCUGCUGGGCUUUUGGGGGGAGAGGCCACAACAGUUGGACUUCGGCACGGCCCCCACAGGAGGGGCCUCGAUUUUCUUCCCAGCUCAUUUGCGUUUGGGGGAGCCUCCCGCCUUCACUCGCUACCACAGAGGGACGAGGCAAGGGCCUUUAU